Orcinus orca (killer whale) is the source of this 211-nucleotide long non-coding RNA. RefSeq lists it as uncharacterized. The record is from RefSeq and is a predicted model, not a curated record. Lineage: Eukaryota; Metazoa; Chordata; Mammalia; Artiodactyla; Delphinidae. The transcript is spliced from 3 exons.
GGCGAUGGUGUGGAGGAGGCGAUGGUGUGGUGGAGGUGAUGGUGUGGUGGUGGUGAUGGUGUGGAGGUGAUGGUGUGGAGGAGGUGAUGGUGCGGUGGUGGUGAUGGUGUGGAGGUGAUGGUGUGGAGGAGGCGAUGGUGUGGUGGAGGUGAUGGUGUGGUGGUGGUGAUGGUGUGGAGGUGAUGGUGUGGAGGAGGCAAUGGUGUGGAGG